Molecule: ribosomal RNA, 321 nt
Filed under: uncultured eukaryote
Lineage: Eukaryota
Description: partial 18S ribosomal RNA
Rfam family: Eukaryotic small subunit ribosomal RNA
Source: RNAcentral
CCCUUAGAUGUCCUAGGCCGCACGCGCGCUACACUGACAUGUUCAACAAGCCUCCUAGUUCGACAGGAUUUGGGAAAUCUUUGAACGCAUGUCGUGAUAGGGAUAGAUCAUUGCAAUUAUUGAUCUUGAACGAGGAAUUCCUAGUAAACGCGAGUCAUCAGCUCGCAUUGAUUACGUCCCUGCCCUUUGUACACACCGCCCGUCGCACCUACCGAUUGAAUGUUUCGGUGAAGAUUCCGGAUAGGACUUUUUUGAUUUAUUUCAAUUUUGUCUUAAAAGCUAUCUAAACCUCAACAUUUAGAGGAAGGUGAAGUCGUAACA